CAGCCGGUGGCAGAUGGCCCGACUGCCAGAGCCUACGUCUCCCCUAAUGCUGUCUCGAAUGCCACCACCGCCAUCUCCACCGACACCACCAGCCUACGCAUCCUCGUCUCCUUCUGCUUCACCCGCCCGCCGCGCCUCUCCUACCUCUGCGUCCACUGCCGGUUCAUUGUCGAUCCCCGAGUCAUCAGCACGCACGCCGAUGUAGCCCUCCUUCACGUCCCGCACCCCAUCGAUGAGCUCCACCGGGGCAUCGAAUCCUACGACUACGGACUACUUCGUCUACACGGCGCUCCUCGCUCCGGCGGCUGCCAAACCCGCGCAUCUCCCCCUUCCGCAACGAGGAGGUCGCCAUCGACUCGCUACAUCAUCGCCUGCCUCAUGCCCACCAUCAACCACCCCAUGAAGUUCAAGCUUCGGCGCUACGACUCCGACGUCGGCCUCUGGAAAUCCAUGGCGGUGUCCGUCCACGAGCCGGCCGAGAGGGGCAGGUUGCUCCCCAUCACCCACACACCUAGAGAGGUGCUCUUCCAUUGCACCACCAAGGUCAUCACACUCGGCAACGCCGCCGUCGGCUGGGUGGAUCUCUGGAGAGGGAUCCUGCUGUGCGACGACGUGCUCGACCAACACCCUGUGCUCCGCGACCUGCUGCUGCCCAAGCCGGUGAGAAGCAACCGGAAAUCCUGGAUCAAGUACGUGCAGGACACUGCUCCCUCCUGCAUCAAGUACGUCGAGAUGUAUUUGCGAAGGUCAAUGCCAGGAGCCAUCGUUGGGUGUUCCACCAUGAGGAACAUGAGGUAG
RNAcentral lists this long non-coding RNA (798 nucleotides) under Oryza sativa Indica Group (long-grained rice). RNAcentral describes it as "lncRNA OsZS97_04G001850". The record is from RNAcentral. Lineage: Eukaryota; Viridiplantae; Streptophyta; Magnoliopsida; Poales; Poaceae.